Molecule: long non-coding RNA, 1601 nt
Organism: Calidris pugnax (ruff)
Lineage: Eukaryota; Metazoa; Chordata; Aves; Charadriiformes; Scolopacidae
Exons: 2
Source: RefSeq, a predicted model, not a curated record
GCGAAGGGCCUGGCCCGCGGCUCUUCCCGCCGCUGCUCUGGCGCCCCAGGGGCCAAAGGGACCGGCUCUCUCCUCAGCCUGAGCAGCCAGCCUCAGCCUUGGCGCGGCGGAGGCCCUGGCGGCAGGGGCUGGCCGAAGGGCCUGUAGAGGCGGGGAGACCUCCCAGGGGACUGUGAAACUUGCCUUGAGAGCAGAUCAUAAAAAGAAGCAGCAGCGCUUGUGGGGAAAGCUGUUGUCCCAAGGAGGCUGUGGUACGGAUUUGUCACAAAGCCAGCCACAGAGAAGGCAAAUCUCUAAGCUCAGAUGGGAAGAAUGACUCUCAACAGACUACUGCCUUCUGCUUCUGUCACCACAUGCAACCCAUGGAAGCCAGUGAGAGUUUGUCCUAGUGUCAUCGCUUGAUAAGGACAGGUCUUAUUUGGCAGCCACUUUUAAUUUGUUUUGCCUCAUUUUGUCUUUAUAGAGACAAGGGUCUUAGGAGCUCUGCACACUAAAGCAAAUUACAAAUCUUACAAUCUCAGGACCUGCACGUGUAUCUCCACGUCCCCUUCACCUGCAGGCAGAGCCAAGGGAUCCACCAUGGACCUCCCCGAACACUCUGGACCUACCUGCUGAGGCCAGUUUUCAGAAACAUUCAGUUUGGUAGGUCUGAAAUAAGAGAAGCCUAAAAUUAGCACUUUUUAACUUGAAUACAAUGCAAGAGUGCUCCCUGGGGGGACUGCCCUUUCUGAUACCUGAACUCUGUUUCCACGUUUGGAGUCUGCGGUAGUUGAGCACUUCCAUUUACCAUGUUGCAGUGUUGAAAGCACAGACACAUAACCCAGAAAAAGAAUUAGCAAGAGGGAAAAAGGCUCUUUGUAUUAUGAUACAUAAAUUCAAAAUAUAGUAGUUAUGGAUAGUGGUAUUUCACUAAAACACUCUUCCUUGAGCAAAAGUCUUUUAAAGUAUCUACCAAUAGCAAUGGUAAAUGAGAGCAACAGACACCCCCACACCCCUCUGAUAGAAGUGGAGACCGAUUUUAACUGCGGAUUUCUGGUGUUUAGAAGUUUUGAUUUCAGUAUCUUGCUUCUGUCUGCUCCCUGGCUCUAAAGCUGUCAGAGCGAAGUUGUGGGAAGCAAGGUCAGUCUCGGAGACGAUGAGGACCAGCUGUGACAAUGAAAAGUCAAUGAAUAUUCACAUGAGAUUCCAGUUCCUGACUUGCUCCUGCUACUCCUCUUGUGGGUCCUGCCAGCACAGCAGAUGGCAGACACUGAAAGACUGUUGUGCCAGUGGAAAAUUACUGAGGGUGUUUUUGGUCUUGUGUAUUGGUGUGUGUGAGGGGGGGAAGUGGGGCAAACAUCUAUUAAUUUAAUUAUUUUCAUAAGAGGAAAGGAAAACAAAUGGUUCCUAAGACUAAAAAAAAUUACUAGCAUGUAAAGAACCAGUCUCUUAUUUUAGACGAAUGAUACUUGUCUGUUUACAUUAUAAGUUUUCCUUGUAAUUCCAUGUAACUUCCCUCAUAAGUCAGAAUUGUGUUUUCUUAAAUAGUUGUGUAAUUAAAAAGAGAACAACAUUGUAACAAUAGCACUGGGUGUUACUUAAGAAACCCAUGGAAAAACUAA